Molecule: long non-coding RNA, 429 nt
Organism: Thunnus maccoyii (southern bluefin tuna)
Lineage: Eukaryota; Metazoa; Chordata; Actinopteri; Scombriformes; Scombridae
Exons: 2
Source: RefSeq, a predicted model, not a curated record
GUAAAGGAGGAGGAGUGUCAUGAUUCCUGCCUCACUCCCGUGUCUCCCUACCUGUUGCCACUUCCCAAGUGGCUCUCUCUCUCUCUCUCUCUCCCUUUGUGUGUGUGAUUGUGUGAGUGGAGACAGGUGUGCUAGAAUCAGAGCAGAGCCCUGCCAGCUGCAACCCGUUCAAUAAUCAAGACCUCUACUUAUACUCAGCCCAGCCAGAUCCACACUGCCAGAUUGUAGCCUUUGCAUCAUGCCCUGCUUCCCUGCCCUGGACCUCCACUCUACCCAGCUUCCAUGGAUUCUGCUCCGGACCUACACCCCUUGCCCCAGCCUGCCUAAGCUCCUGGUUCCCCGCUUCCAGCCCAAGCCUCAGCCCCAGUUUCCCAGCUACCAGUACUAGUUUCCCCUUACCUGCUUUAAUAAAAAUCUUGUCCUACCGUG